UUUUCCUAAAGAUUAAGCCAUGCAUGUCUAAGACAAUGAGGAAGCAAUUCUCUCUGAAUCUGCGAACGGCUCUGCAAACCAGUUGUAAACCUAAGCAAGUCCGCCCUCGGCUCGAUUCCCUCACGGGAUAGGACCGGGGGCUUAUAUGGAUAACCGUGGUAAUUCUGAGGCUAAUACAUGACAUAACGCACCUCUCCGCUUAGGGCUCCGGUUCCGGGCGGCAAGGGACGCGCGAUUACUGGCUUGAUAUUAUCGUGAAAGAACGCGCGUUCAGACCACCGCACAAAGGCGAGGACCUUCCGAGCCUGGUGGCGCUUGCAUCGUGCUUCUGACCUAUCCACUAGACGGCAGCGUAACGGACAUGCUAUGGUAACAACGAGUACAGAGGAUAAGGGUUCGAUCCUGGAGAGUGGGCCUGAGAGAUUGCUUAUACUUCUAAGGAAGGCAGCAGGCGCGCAACGUUCCCCUUGGUCAAUGACUGAGGGCAUUAGGGGACAUAUGAAUGGCUGCCUUUAAGGUGGCCAAUUCAAAUGGGUUUGUCGUAAACAGGCUCUCGAGUAACAAUUAGAGGACAAGACUGGUGCCAGCACCCGCGGUAAGUCCAGCUCUAAUAGCAUACGUUAAAGUUGUUGCGGUUAAAACGCUCGUAGUCGGCAGCAGGCCAUCAGAAGCCGGCGCCGGGAUCCCGGGUCUGUGCCCCUCGUCGGGCGCGCCGGGUGACUGGCAAUGGCGGGCGGUGGCCAGCCGCGCCCAUUGGCGUGCUUCCCUCCGGGGUCGCUUACAGGGCUUCCGCUUUCCCUCUCGGGGGGAAGCGGUCGCCUGGCCGUGGGCGCCAUUUACCGUGAUUAAACUGGCGUGAUCAAGGCAGGCCGUUCGGCCCCUGCACAGCUCAGCACGGGAUAAAGCGAGCCGGUGCCCCUUUCAAGCGGGGGGCGCUCGGUUAGCAGCAAAAGGGGUGUUCGAGGGUGACCGAAUUGCCGGGCGAGUGGUGAAAUACGUUGACCCUGGCAAGUCGACCUAAGGCGAAAGCAGUCAUCAAGGGCACGCCCAUUGAUCAAGAGCGAAAGUUAAGGGUUCGAAGACGAUCAGAUACCGUCGUAGUCUUAACUAUAAAUGAUACUGGCUAGAGAUAGGGCAAUGUCCAUCUCGACUCCCCCUGGAUCUUAGGGAAACCAAAGCCUUUGAGUUCUGGGGGGAGUAUGGUCGCAAGGCUGAAACUUAAAGGAAUUGACGGAAGGGCACACAAAGAGUGGAACCUGCGGCUUAAUUUGACUCAACACGGGAAAACUCACCAGGUCAAGAUACACGUAUGAAAGACAAGCUGAUAGACUUUUCUCAAUGAUGUAAGUGGUGGUGCAUGGUCGUUCUUAGUUCGUGGGGUGGCCUGUCUGGUCUAUUCCGAUAACGAGCGAGACCCCAACGCUCUAACUAGGGGCGGCAGCCCGGCUUGGCACCCCCCGCCCCUCACGGGGCGGGCGCCUCGCUAGCAGCCGCCUCGCGAAGCAAGCUUCUUAGACGGAUCGAGGCCGAAAAGGUCUCUGAAAUGGGUUAAUAACAGGUCAGUCAUGCCCUUAGAUGUUCUGGGCCGCACGCGCGUUACAAUGGCACGCAAAACAAGUGUUCAUUUAUCGAGUCUUCCCAUGGCCUACAGUUCGUGGUAAACCGUAAGGCCUGCCUUGACUGGGAUAGACUAUUGCAAUUAUUGGUCUUCAACGAGGAAUUUUUAGUAGUCGCGCGUCAUUAGCGCGCGACGAAUGCGUCCCUGCCCUUUGUACACACCGCCCGUCGCUGCUACCGAUUGGGUUUUGCGGUUACGCGUUCGGAGGCCGGGACAACCGCCGCCCUCAAGCGGCGG
Molecule: ribosomal RNA, 1855 nt
Filed under: Amaurochaete comata
Lineage: Eukaryota; Evosea; Eumycetozoa; Stemonitida; Stemonitidae
Description: SSU rRNA
Rfam family: Eukaryotic small subunit ribosomal RNA
Source: RNAcentral